AGGACGAACGCUGGCGGCGUGCUUAACACAUGCAAGUCGAGCGGAAAGGCCACUUCGGUGGUACUCGAGCGGCGAACGGGUGAGUAACACGUGAGUAAUCUGCCCUCCACUUUGGGAUAGCCACCGGAAACGGUGAUUAAUACCGGAUAUGACCUUGGCCCGCAUGGGUUGUGGUGGAAAGUUUUUCGGUGGGGGAUGUGCUCGCGGCCUAUCAGCUUGAUGGUGGGGGAAUGGCCUACCAUGGCUUCGACGGGUAGCCGGCCUGAGAGGGUGACCGGCCACACUGGGACUGAGACACGGCCCAGACUCCUACGGGAGCAGCAGUGGGGAAUAUUGGGAACAAGU
Molecule: ribosomal RNA, 345 nt
Filed under: uncultured soil bacterium
Lineage: Bacteria
Description: bacterial SSU rRNA
Rfam family: Bacterial small subunit ribosomal RNA
Source: RNAcentral